Long non-coding RNA from Globicephala melas (long-finned pilot whale), 2628 nucleotides. RefSeq lists it as uncharacterized. The record is from RefSeq and is a predicted model, not a curated record. Lineage: Eukaryota; Metazoa; Chordata; Mammalia; Artiodactyla; Delphinidae.
CCGCCGCUGCCGCCACGGAGCCCGGCCGAGGGGAGGGAGGGAUCAGCCCCCAGGCAGGAUCCGCCCCUCCGGCCUCCCCCCCUCCCCCCGCCACCUCCACCCCUUCCCUCGCUCCCUCUCUGGCUCCGCGGGCUCUCCCGCUGAACAGGAGCGAGAGCGCGAAAGAGAGGGGAAACAAGAAAAAAAUCCCCCCGCCCGUGCCCGGCGCGGCGGCGGCCGGGGCGGCGCGGAGAGGAGCGCGGAGCCGCUGCCGCCACAGGGCACCGUCCCCUGCUCGGCCUCACGGUGGCGGUGCGGACACGGCAGGGGCGCGGAGCAAAGGCGGGAUCUGCGCUCGUCGCGGCCCCGGCUCACGCCGACCUGCCUCGCCACGGGGAGAGUCCGACUAGAGAGCUGGGGGGCGUUAUGGUCCAGCUGGGAAAGACGGGGUCCAUAACUCCUUAGAGUGGUUAUUUACCCACUCCCCCAGCCCUGCGGGGGAGGUGGCUAAGGUUUGGAGCAACAACCCCCCUCCCUGAGCUAGAAGGUCCCUCCAAAGGCUAAGUCAAGAGCAGUCAUUGAAGACAAAACCGUUCUGUAGUUUCUUGGGGUGCAGGUGCCUGCAGUACUCCCAGAAAGUCGCCCCCUUCCCCCCGUGCUCCAGUCCGGAGGACAAAGGUCUAUCGAUGUCCAUACUCUUCCCCAGUGAGGACAGCCGGGGAAGACCUGCCUCUGUUGUGUAAAGGAUUGAUGAGUGGACUCUCCGUCUGGCUGUGGGCAGUACCUCCAGGUCCUUUCAGGGAUAUGGGCUCAAUCUACACAAAAGGAAGAAAACCUACAGAUCAAGUCAAAAGGUCUUUUCAGAUGGAAAGCUCACAUUCUCAACUCCACACUCUGCUGCCUCCCAGGCCCUGCAUGAGAAGCUGCAGAUACCAGGGUCAUAAAAUAAGCUGUAGUAUAAGUGACUGGGGCCAGGUCUCUUGAGGACCUAUGAGGGAAGAUUUAACAUGAAGGAGACCAGGUGAGUGGAGAAAACUGCUGUUGAGAAGGAGGAAAUGACAAUGUCCGGAAGAUGGGGUAAUUGGGGAGGGAAGAGGAUGUGGUAGAGAAAAUAAUUAAAAAUAAUAGUUAAUGCUUGGUGAGCCCUUCCCAUGUGCCAGGUACUCUUCUGAGUGCUUCCCUUAUGUUAAUUUCUUUAGUAUUAUUAUCCUUAUAGAUGAGGAAACUGAGGCCCAAGGUCACAUGGCUGGUAAGUGGUAGAGCAGGAGGCAGUAUGCCUCCAGAGCUCAACACUUAACCACCUUAGUAAACCACAUAGGGAAAGAAGAGGGUAAGACAGAGGUGCCACUCUUCUGACAGAAGAUAAAAAGGAGAGGCUGGAUUAAGCUAGAGUUUCUAAAGCCAAAGCUGUAUCCUGCUUGGCUGGAGGAAAUCCACCCACUGUCUUUAUUGGGGUUCCUCCUUGGAAUUAUACAAAAGUUCUGGGAUCUUAUGGACCCCACAAUACGAGGAGAGUUCCUCUGAUCAUCAGUCUGUACUUAAAAAUACUGAGCUGCUGCAUCAAUUAAGAAUGGUGGGCUAUCCAUAGGAGAAACCCUGAGUAAUUUCAGCCAAGACCAGGAGAAUUUGCUUACGGUCCAGCGUCCCUGAGCGUACCCAGCACCUUCCUCGUGAGUUUUGCCAGGGUGUUAACAGGGAACUGGACAUAGUCCAAAAGAAUGUGAGUAUUAAUGGGCCUCUACCUCCUUCCGGUCAGGAGAAACUGCCUAGCUAAGCCACACUGCUUCUCAAAUGCACUUCCCUUCCUCACUCCCUCACCUUUUCCCCUCCCAGAGUCCUACCAAAAUAUUCUCAAGGGUGAGACCUUUAAGAAAACAGAGAGAAACAAGUGUGCUUCUGGGAGUUUCUUCCCUUGGCCAGUUAACACAAACCUGUCUCAAAGCCCUGCUACUUUUAUGUCCGUGAUGGUUGGGGGGAACAGGGACAGUAAUGCAGGGAGAGAAGAGCACGCAUUGACCUCAAUGUGUGCUUGUGCCACGUUGCAGUGGAAAGAACGGUGCAGUGGUAAAUAGGAGACCUGGGCCCCAGUCUCUACUCUGGGCCCAAAUGUCUUCAUCAGUAAAAUUGUGUAGAAGGAACGCUGUGGGGUGGGGAUGGGAGGAUUCCACCUAGUUGAAAACUAGAUAUAGAGGCCUCAGCAAAUUCCCUAGCGAAAUGCCCCAGUCAGACCCAUUCCUACCUGGACAGUAAGGUUGGGAAACACAGGGGAAUGGUGGUUAGUAUGUGUUCUAGGCAUCCAGGUGCAGAUCUGGGCAUUUCCAGCAUGGCUCCACGAUCAUGCAAGGUGGGGGGUGGGGGCACAGACGGCGGUACAAUACGGGGGUUGGCUAAGACGUAGCAGAGGAUUCCAAAAGUCACAUUUUAGCAUCUGGGACAAGCGUUUUUAACCGGGGUCCACAAACCAUAGACUGUACACUGGAAUUCAGAGGUCCAUGAAUUUGGAUUGGAAAAUAUUACAGCUUUUAAAGGCAGCAAACUACAGUUGCAUUAGCUGGGCCAGUAGAAAGCAGUACUUUUCAUUUCCCUUUACAGUUGCUGCAGAUAUCUUGAAACAUCGUUUAAACUCAUUUCUACUUCAGGUUUGCAGUA